GUUCUCACUCCCUCCCCCUUCCCGAGCCACAAUAACAGACAGGAGGCCGCUGGACAGACACAGCUGCAGUCUCGGAGCCGGAACAUGGUCCUCCCGUGGGCCCAGGCCCGCGCAGCCUCCACCGCCGCCUCGGCCUCUGAGUGCCCGAGAAUUUACUGAAGAGAUCAGGGAACUAAAUGGAGAAUCAUAAAAUCCUAAGUCAAACCCUUUAUGAAUCCAAACAACAACUUCGCUGAGAAAUGGUUGAUCAUCUACUCUCUUCUUGAAAACCUCCAGAGAUGGUGAGCCCACUCUUCAAAGACAGUUCAUUCUACUUUUGUAUUUUCCUAAUUAAUAGAAAUUUAUUACAUUGAGCUCUAACUCACCUUCAUGUAAAUUCUCUUCACUGGUUACAAUUCUAUCCUUUGUGUACAGGAAAUAUUUUUCUAAUCCAUUUUCCAAUUGAGAAACUCUGAAAGGAUAUAGGAAUAUGCUUAUUGGUUUGGGAAAAGAAAGAAUUAGGCAUUAGGUAGCUGGAGUUUCCAAGUUCAUUAGUUGAACCAUUUGGUUGCUUCUAAAUUUUGAUGUAUUUGUAUCGAUAAAAGGCAAUCAAGGGGGCAGCUGGGUAGCUCAGUGGAUUGAGAGCCAGGCCUAGAGACAGGAGAUCCUAGGU
This is a long non-coding RNA of Gracilinanus agilis (Agile Gracile Mouse Opossum), 652 nucleotides long. RefSeq lists it as uncharacterized. NCBI's taxonomy places the organism in Eukaryota, Metazoa, Chordata, Mammalia, Didelphimorphia, Didelphidae. The transcript is spliced from 3 exons. The record is from RefSeq and is a predicted model, not a curated record.